CACAAGCGGUGGAUGAUGUUGGUUUAAUUCGUAUGCAACGACGAAAAACCUUAACCCACCUUUGACAUGGCAGGAAUCCUAAGAGAUUUUGGAGUGCUCGAAAGAGAACCUGCACACAGGUGCUGCAUGGCUGUCGUCAGCUCGUGUCGUGAGAUGUUGGGUUAAGUCCCGCAACGAGCGCAACCCUUGCCAUUAGUUGCUACGAAAGGGCACUCUAAUGGGACUGCCGGUGACAAACCGGAGGAAGGUGGGGAUGACGUCAAGUCCUCAUGGCCCUUAUAGGUGGGGCUACACACGUCAUACAAUGGCCGGUACAGAGGGUAGCCAACCCGCGAGGGGGGAGCCAAUCCCACAAAGCCGGUCGUAGUCCGGAUCGCAGUCUGCAACUCGACUGCGUGAAGUCGGAAUCGCUAGUAAUCGCGGAUCAGCAUGUCGCGGUGAAUACGUUCCCGGGUCUU
RNAcentral lists this ribosomal RNA (458 nucleotides) under uncultured Allobrachymonas sp. RNAcentral describes it as "bacterial SSU rRNA". It matches the Rfam family "Bacterial small subunit ribosomal RNA", at positions 924 to 1382 of the family's 1533-position model. The record is from RNAcentral. Lineage: Bacteria; Pseudomonadati; Pseudomonadota; Betaproteobacteria; Burkholderiales; Comamonadaceae.